GAGCUGAAAAAUUGUGUUGAGGUUAAUUUUGAGACUGUUCACAUGCCUAUGGUGUGGUGUGAUUUAUAAUAGGAUGAAGUUGAAGACCGGAGAAAAAAUAUUGAGCAAUUGUUUAGCUUUGGUAAUAUCCAUCAAUCAAACAUGUAUGGCACUAUGAACUCCUUAUGGCAUGAGACCCACCAAGAGUACCAUGUGUACAUCAUGUGUACGACAGUCUAGCUGAAAUAGCUAGUCUAAAAAAUCUUAUGCCACCUCAUCUUCAAACGUGUUCCAAGUUUGAGAUACUUACUACAUGCAUUUCGCGAUGUCGCACGAUUGCACUCAACUUCAAUUGUUGUGAUAAAGUUUGUAUUUUUAUGUAUUGCAAAUGCACACGCAAAGUUGAACCCACGUUUACCACUUGGAUACUAUGGUAACGCUUUUGGACUAUCUCUAGCACUUAGAAGUUACAACUGCUUGUAUACUUUGUCAGAAUCAAUUAGGAUAUUCAUUGGAAUUAGUUCGAAAAGCCAAAGCUGAUGUAACUGACGAGUUUAUGAAAUCAACUGCAGAUUUGUUAGUAACAAAGAGUCGACCCAACUAUACAAAUGUCUGAACCUAUGAAGGGUCUAACGUUGCACAUAUAGGGUUCAAGGACAUUGUUUUGGAUGGGGUAAGGCACGGUGGCCAAAAGUGUUUACUAAUUUCCUUCCUUAGUCAGGUUUGUUUUAUUUGUUUUAACUUAUAUAGUUAUAUUUAUGGCUUUUGAGAAAACCAUAUACAACUUGCACUUGCUCUUUGUUGAUUGCUUGCAUACUUUAAUGUUGUCUAGGGAAUUUUGCCGGUUCAUGAUAGUAUGGAUGCCUUGGCUGCUGCUGCAUUACAUAUGUCUUUGAAGAGAUCUGAAGUUGGUAAGAUCCAUAUCCUUAAUAAUAAGUUCUUGUGCCUCUUUGUGUUAUGUGAGCUGGAAAAUUAUGGUGAGAUUAAUUUUGUGAAUGCCUAGAAACAUGCUUAUGUAUUUUAAGCCUGGAAAGCCCAACUUUCCUGGUUUUAUGACUUCUUGGCUAUAGUUUUUGUUCUUAUGUUUUAUGUCUAAAAUAACAAAAAAUUUCAUCUAUUUAUUAUUAAACCAAUGAAGGAUAGUUGUGCUAGCUUCCUCUGGGAUUAGUCCCAGUAAAUAAAAAUAAAGGUAGAACAGACCCCACAUAAAAUUUCAUCUAUUUCAUCUAUUUCCACUAAUGAACAUAACAUUUUAUUCACGCUAUUAAGGGGAGUUUUAAAGGACAUGAACAGAGAUUCCCAUGAACUUAAAAUUUUCAGCUAGCAUCAUAGGUAGGUUCCUUAUUCACGUAGUACAUUCAAUAUCUGUACCAGCUUUGUUCAUAAAUGAAUACAUAUGAAUGAAAGCAAGACUCAAAUGAUUUAUGU
This 1407-nucleotide long non-coding RNA is filed under the name Aquilegia coerulea. Its description in RNAcentral is "long non-coding RNA (ACOE_LNC002047)". Lineage: Eukaryota; Viridiplantae; Streptophyta; Magnoliopsida; Ranunculales; Ranunculaceae. The record is from RNAcentral.